This 465-nucleotide ribosomal RNA is filed under the name uncultured Klebsiella sp. RNAcentral describes it as "bacterial SSU rRNA". It matches the Rfam family "Bacterial small subunit ribosomal RNA", at positions 338 to 795 of the family's 1533-position model. Lineage: Bacteria; Pseudomonadati; Pseudomonadota; Gammaproteobacteria; Enterobacterales; Enterobacteriaceae. The record is from RNAcentral.
CCUACGGGUGGCAGCAGUGGGGAAUAUUGCACAAUGGGCGCAAGCCUGAUGCAGCCAUGCCGCGUGUGUGAAGAAGGCCUUCGGGUUGUAAAGCACUUUCAGCGGGGAGGAAGGCGUUAAGGUUAAUAACCUUGGCGAUUGACGUUACCCGCAGAAGAAGCACCGGCUAACUCCGUGCCAGCAGCCGCGGUAAUACGGAGGGUGCAAGCGUUAAUCGGAAUUACUGGGCGUAAAGCGCACGCAGGCGGUCUGUCAAGUCGGAUGUGAAAUCCCCGGGCCCAACCUGGGAACUGCAUUCGAAACUGGCAGGCUAGAGUCUUGUAGAGGGGGGUAGAAUUCCAGGUGUAGCGGUGAAAUGCGUAGAGAUCUGGAGGAAUACCGGUGGCGAAGGCGGCCCCCUGGACAAAGACUGACGCUCAGGUGCGAAAGCGUGGGGAGCAAACAGGAUUAGAUACCCGAGUAGUC